AUUGAACGCUGGCGGCAUGCUUUACACAUGCAAGUCGAACGGUAACAGGCCUUCGGGUGCUGACGAGUGGCGAACGGGUGAGUAAUGCAUCGGAACGUGCCCAGAGGUGGGGGAUAACGCAGCGGAAGCUGUGCUAAUACCGCAUGUGAUCUGAGGAUGAAAGCGGGGGACCAGGCAGCAAUGUUUGGCCUCGCGCCUUUGGAGCGGCCGAUGUCAGAUUAGGUAGUUGGUGGGGUAAAGGCCUACCAAGCCGACGAUCUGUAGCUGGUCUGAGAGGACGACCAGCCACACGGGGACUGAGAAAGGGCCCAGCCCCCACGGGGAGGCAGGGGGGGGGAAUUUUGGAAAAGGGGGGAAAGCCUGAACCAGCAAUGCGGGGGGGGGGAAGAAGGCCUUCGGGUUGUAAACCGCUUUUGUAGGGAAAAAAAAGGCUCUGGGUAAAACCGGGGGGUGAGGACGGUACCGAAAGAAUAAGCACCGGCUAACUACGU
RNAcentral lists this ribosomal RNA (491 nucleotides) under uncultured bacterium. Its description in RNAcentral is "partial 16S ribosomal RNA". It matches the Rfam family "Bacterial small subunit ribosomal RNA", at positions 29 to 506 of the family's 1533-position model. The record is from RNAcentral.